This 484-nucleotide ribosomal RNA is filed under the name uncultured bacterium. RNAcentral's name for it is "partial 16S ribosomal RNA". It matches the Rfam family "Bacterial small subunit ribosomal RNA", at positions 29 to 507 of the family's 1533-position model. The record is from RNAcentral.
AUUGAACGCUGGCGGCAUGCUUUACACAUGCAAGUCGAACGGCAGCGCGGGCUUAGGCGUUGAGGCGAGUGGAAAAGGGGAGUAAAAUGCCUCGACAUGUGCAGAGGAGUGGGAGAAAGACCGGCGAAAGUAGGUUUAAUACCACACAAGAUAUGGAGGAGAGCGCGGGGGAGUGAAACGUCUCGCGCUUUUAGAGGGGGCGAUGUCAGAUUAGAUAGUUGGUGGGGUAAAGGCUCACCAAGGCGACGAUCCGUAGCUGGUCUGAGAGGACGACCAGCCACACUGGGACUGAGACACGGCCCAGACUCCUACGGGAGGCAGCAGUGGGGAAUUUUGGACAAUGGGGGCAACCCUGAUCCAGCCAUGCCGCGUGCGGGAAGAAGGCCUUCGGGUUGUAAACUGCUUUUGUACGGAAAGAAAUCGUUUUGGCUAAUACCCCGGGGGGAUGACGGUACCGUAAGAAUAAGCACCGGCUAACUACGUG